RNAcentral lists this ribosomal RNA (394 nucleotides) under Boophis sp. 42 MV-2009. RNAcentral describes it as "partial 16S ribosomal RNA". It matches the Rfam family "Bacterial large subunit ribosomal RNA", at positions 2038 to 2597 of the family's 2925-position model. The record is from RNAcentral. Lineage: Eukaryota; Metazoa; Chordata; Amphibia; Anura; Mantellidae.
GAAACUGAUCUCUCCGUGAAGAAGCGGGGAUGAAUCUAUAAGACGAGAAGACCCCAUGGAGCUUUAAACCCGACAGCACCCGCUUACUUUAUACCUAAUUAUAUGCCCGUUGCCUGUCUGCUCGGUUUUAGGUUGGGGUGACCACGGAGUACAAAAUAACCUCCAUGAAAAAGGGGAUAAAUACCCUUAUUAGAGAACAACACUUCCAAAAACUAACAAAUUAAUUUCUAAUGAUCCGACAUUCGAUCAACGAACCAAGUUACCCUGGGGAUAACAGCGCAAUCCACCCCGAGAGCUCCUAUCGACAGGUGGGUUUACGACCUCGAUGUUGGAUCAGGGUAUCCCAGUGGUGCAGCAGCUACCAACGGUUCGUUUGUUCAACGAUUAAAACCCU